GGAGGUAAUGCGAUUCGACUGGAACGAUUAAUCUUUCUCAGGUGAGAGUGUAUUGGGAGAAACAGGGGAGGGUGACAGGAAGAAGAGGGAUGGGAUGAGAUGUAGUUUAAAUGUAAGUGGGAAAAGAAAAGAAAAGAAUGUGAAGAGAAAGAAGCAUACGGCAGGUGAAUUAUCCUCUCUCACUUUUCCAUCAUAAGUUUAGUUCUCCUUUCUUGCGCUCUGAUCUAAUCAUUUCAUUUCUUGCAUCACCUUUUCUUCGUUCCCUACCGCUCUUCACUUUCUGCCUCCUCCACUCUUCAACAUUAACCACUCCUUUUUUAAAACCUGUUCUUUAUUCCGACAGUCUACCACUCCCCUCCCCUCUUGUAUUCUUUAUAACUUCCUCCCCACUCCUGUUCAAGGAUUUGUUGUAGAACAACCAAACGCAGGAGUGAACAAUGUUUCAUCCGAAGGACCUACAUUCUGUAGAGCUGUGUGCGAACGGUAUGAACUCACAUAUAACCACUGCUUUUUGAAACUUUGCUUGCGCUUAAGUAAGUGUAGUGGUAUCAAACCGCCGUAAGGGCCAGCACUGACAAACCCAUGUCAUCAAACUGUUACGGUUUAAUCAGGGACAAGUUCUUUCUAUAUCUGAUUUUGUGGGAAGUACCAUUUUCAAUUUGAAUCCUUAAAUUCAUUAUCUGACGAUCUUAAACAGUUUCCUUGAAAUCAAAGCAGCUGCUCUGGGUUUCAGAUUUGCUGCAGGCAUUGUAAGAUUUAGUCAUCUUGCACCUCUCCAGUUUUAAUCAUACAGGUUUCCAAACGUUUAGCCUUUCAGGUGGAGCAGGAGAGACCAAAAUCAAGACACACUGGCCCACUUGGGGUUUAACACGAUUCUGCUAGUACAAACACAUCCUGCUAUUUAGUCAAACUUCCCAAGUGUGCGUACAGUUGGCAAGGUGCAUGUAAUCCAUAUGCAUCAGCAUCCAAACAGUAUCCAUAAUCUUAUAGUCGAUGGAAGACUGACAAAAUCUAAACUAAGAACUAAUGCAUUACUGGCUGGGGUACAGUGCUGGAUCUGUGCUAAUUUCUUAAUUUGAUUUCCCUCCUCAAAUAGAGCGAGUAAUUUGUUUAGGGGACCAGAAUUUGCCCAAUUUAGCUGGUAAGCUCCUUGGCAGCAGUAAUGGGGAUAAACAGCUAGCAGAAACUGCAGCCUAAUCAUAGUGCGUCUGUUGAAGACUUGCACAGACACACAUAUACUCACUUACACACUUUCUUGCUAAAACACACACACACAUAAUCUUCAUUUUGCUUCCCCUGCCCCUUCUCUACAUUCCACCAUAAUUAUCUAGUUCAAAAUUACAGCUUUGCGGGGCGAAGGAGCUCGCCAACUAACCUGUUAGCCAACUCAAUUUGCUCACACACUCUUGUCUCACAUCAAGGAUUCACUGGUUUUCUCGCCUUAGCAGGGCAUACCAAUUCAGCUUCAGAGGAACUGUUUAAAUCAAAUCACUGCACUACAUUAUACAGUCACAGUAAUUACCCAAUGGUAAACGUGAAGAUUUCUCAGUAUGAAUAUAUAAUACUCAAACUGCACACACCAGUAUAUACAAACAUUAACCAACACAAAUGAAACUUUUGAAAUACAGUUUUCACUUCACAGAGAUUUAAUGGCUUAAAGGGAUAUUCCGGUGUAAAAUUAGGUUAGGGUUAAACACACCGUAGAGAUGAAUGUUGCAGACUGCUUGCUGCUCUAGUUAUACCAAUUUAAGUAACGACCGCACGAUAGCAAUACACGGCGAGCUACGGCUCCACGUACACACCUUAAUAAAAAUUUUAAAAAACACUCUAUAGCCACAAAUUAUGCUCAGAACAGCACCUAACUUCAUCAACAGGACAUGUAGGGUCCGAGUCAUAGCACUAGCCAUCAAACUUCUUUUUAGCUCUGCCUAAUUUCUUUAGCAAAGAGACUAAACACAACUCACCCACUCUCUCACAGCAGCCACUUGUUUGUGGGGGGAGCCCUAACGAGUCAAUCACAGAGUGCAGCAGGUCAUUUCCUUAGAGUGCAGCGGAGUUUCGCAGCUCAA
Molecule: long non-coding RNA, 2069 nt
Filed under: Xyrichtys novacula (pearly razorfish)
Lineage: Eukaryota; Metazoa; Chordata; Actinopteri; Labriformes; Labridae
Source: RNAcentral